Molecule: long non-coding RNA, 233 nt
Organism: Daktulosphaira vitifoliae (grape phylloxera)
Lineage: Eukaryota; Metazoa; Arthropoda; Insecta; Hemiptera; Phylloxeridae
Exons: 2
Source: RefSeq, a predicted model, not a curated record
CAAGUUUAAUAAUUUGCAUAAUUUUACAAAAAUUAAUAAGUAGAUAAAAGUCAGUGCUCUCUCUAUAUAUAUAUAUAUCUUUUACGCAAUAAACAAUCAAGCUAGCUGGACACAAGCUCUCACUGGACCGAUUUUUCUUAACAAUACGUCAAUACGAUCACAAAUCAUAUUUAGUUGAAGCCAUUUUUCUUAAAAAUUGAAAAAAUUCCCUCGUUUCCCGUAAAUGGAGAAAA